Long non-coding RNA from Sinocyclocheilus rhinocerous, 318 nucleotides. RefSeq lists it as uncharacterized. NCBI's taxonomy places the organism in Eukaryota, Metazoa, Chordata, Actinopteri, Cypriniformes, Cyprinidae. The transcript is spliced from 4 exons. The record is from RefSeq and is a predicted model, not a curated record.
AAAUGUAAAACUUGCUGCAGUAUCUUUUAAAACAGCAGCAAAAACAGCUGACGAUAAAAUCUCCUCCAUUGCCCUCACCACCAGCUUCCACUGCAAGACCACUUGUUCCUUCCAGUACUGCCUCUGAUCAGCCUGUGAUGGAGGAGGAUGAAGAACUGGAGAGGAUGAUGCUGAGUCUUUCUCCAACAAAAUAUCUCACACAGCUGAGAUCAUCUGCAGCCACGGGAGCCACAGUCUUAUCUACAGCAGUGUUCUUGCCUGUUCUAUGUUCUUUUGUUAUAACUACUGUUAAGGGUUGAACAUACCAGUGGUGAGGGU